This 235-nucleotide ribosomal RNA is filed under the name uncultured bacterium. RNAcentral's name for it is "partial 16S ribosomal RNA". It matches the Rfam family "Bacterial small subunit ribosomal RNA", at positions 99 to 334 of the family's 1533-position model. The record is from RNAcentral.
CGAACGGGUGAGUAACGCGUGAGGAACCUGCCUCAAAGAGGGGGACAACAGUUAGAAAUGACUGCUAAUACCGCAUAAGCGCACGGUACCGCAUGGUACAGUGUGAAAAACUCCGGUGGUGUGAGAUGGAUCCGCGUCUGAUUAGGUAGUUGGUGAGGUAACGGCCCACCAAGCCGACGAUCAGUAGCCGACCUGAGAGGGUGACCGGCCACAUUGGGACUGAGACACGGCCCAA